UGCCCUGCCGCCGCGCCUGCCGCAGGGGCGGGGGGACAGGCCGGCGACAGGAGGCGGGGCGCGCACGGACGAGGUGCCCGGGGCGGAGGUGGGGGCCGAGGGCCAGAGCGCGGGGCAGCCGGCGGGGCAGGGCUGCAGGGACAGUAGGGGAGGCUCGGGGUAGAGUCUGGAGGAGAGUUGCAGAGACACUCAAGUCCAGGGGGAAGGAGAAGUCGGCGCCGGCCUUAGGAAAGGCUGAGAAACGGGAACGGAGAGACCGGGAGCGGGGGACGGGAGGGCUGAGAAAACGGGAGGAGAACAAGUGGAGAAGGACACAGAGACGAGGAGCCAGAGCCUUCACGGGAGGCAGACGGAAGGCCAGCUCCGUCUUGCGGCGAAGCACAUCCGCCUGGGGCUUUUGCACCAGAUGGUGUCACAGCACUUCCAGGAGGGAGAGAGGUGUGCUGGACGGGAGCAAGGGGCAGGCGGCCUCCACCCGACACCUCACUUGAACGGCUUCGACAGGAGGAAGAUUCUGCUCUCCUGUGACAAGGUG
RNAcentral lists this long non-coding RNA (535 nucleotides) under Equus caballus (horse). RNAcentral's name for it is "lncRNA (ENSECAG00000048195.1)". The record is from RNAcentral. Lineage: Eukaryota; Metazoa; Chordata; Mammalia; Perissodactyla; Equidae.